Long non-coding RNA from Centruroides sculpturatus (bark scorpion), 563 nucleotides. RefSeq lists it as uncharacterized. The transcript has 3 exons. Lineage: Eukaryota; Metazoa; Arthropoda; Arachnida; Scorpiones; Buthidae. The record is from RefSeq and is a predicted model, not a curated record.
UUCUGUAGAUAGGAUUAGAAGCUUGAAAGAUAAAGAAAAAGUAAUAUCCGAGCCAAAGAAUUAUUUUUAAUUCCAAGCGAAGGAAAAGUUAACACUUUUUGGCUUGGAAUUUGAAAAAAAAAAGAGAACAAGAGAGAAGAUUCGAACAGAAUAGAAAUUCGAAUAAGAUUUGGCUUAUCGAAUUAUAUUGAGAUUGUUUCUUUUUAUUAAUAUUGGUGUGUUUACUAAAGUUACAAAAAGUUUACCUUGCAUAUAUUCCGUUCAGCUAAAUAUACAUGGUAGAAAGGUUCUCUCGCAGUAGAAAGCAUUCAUUUUUCUUCGACUCGGGAAGUUGUCUAGCCAAGAAUACAUACUGUAAAUGAAAAUCUGUUAUUGUGAAUGAAGAAUUAAGUCAAGAAUGUCAGAAAAUUCAAAAAGACCUGAAUUUUGCUGUGAUGUAAUAAAUAAUGACAUUCCUCUCCCAGAAGUAUUAGAAUUAUUAUAUACAAAGAAUGAAAUUACUGAACCAAAUGAUGCAAUUGUUGUUGUUCUGCAUGUUCUCAUGUUUGAAUUAGGAUUCAUUC